This 125-nucleotide small RNA is filed under the name Marmota monax (woodchuck). The record is from RNAcentral. Lineage: Eukaryota; Metazoa; Chordata; Mammalia; Rodentia; Sciuridae.
CCUGGGUGUGGUGGCACACACCUGUAAUCCCAGCAGCUAGGAAGGCUGAGAUAGGAGGAUUGUGGGCUCAAAGCCAGUCUUAGCAACAGCAAGAUGCUAAGCAACUCAGUGAGACCCUGUCUCUA